UGCAGGCGACACAAGUAUCAGAGGCAAGAAUCAUGGAUCGGUCUCCAUAUUAGGGAACCCGAAUUGGCGACAUGAGUCACCCCUCCCCCAUCGGUCAAGAAUCCGAUGGGGGGAGACAUACCCUGGCGAAAGAUACAAACUGACCACAGGGACCUAGACCAAACAUGGAAUCGGGGAAAGCCGGAUACGGGCAAGGAAUGUCAGCUAUGUCAAUUAAUGGAUGGUAUAAAUGAUU
Molecule: long non-coding RNA, 235 nt
Organism: Haliotis rubra (blacklip abalone)
Lineage: Eukaryota; Metazoa; Mollusca; Gastropoda; Lepetellida; Haliotidae
Exons: 3
Source: RefSeq, a predicted model, not a curated record